UCCGACUUAACGUCGGCAGUCCCUUUAGAGUGCCCAACUAAAUGCUGGCAACUAAAGGCAAGGGUUGCGCUCGUUGCGGGACUUAACCCAACAUCUCACGACACGAGCUGACGACAGCCAUGCAGCACCUGUGUAUCGACUCUUGCGAGCGACCGUAUUUCUACGAGUCUUCCAAUACAUGUCAAAUCUAGGUAAGGUUCUUCGCGUUGCAUCGAAUUGAACCACAUGCUCCACCGCUUGUGCGGGCCCCCGUCAAUUUCUUUGAGUUUUAAUCUUGCGACCGUACUUCCCAGGCGGGAUACUUAACGCGUUAGCUUCGGCACUGAAGGGGUCAAUACCUCCAACACCAAGUAUCCAUAGUUUAAGGCGUGGACUAC
This 377-nucleotide unclassified non-coding RNA is filed under the name uncultured Pseudobdellovibrionaceae bacterium. RNAcentral describes it as "uncultured Bdellovibrionaceae bacterium contains 16S-23S intergenic spacer region". The record is from RNAcentral. Lineage: Bacteria; Pseudomonadati; Bdellovibrionota; Bdellovibrionia; Bdellovibrionales; Pseudobdellovibrionaceae.